This 229-nucleotide ribosomal RNA is filed under the name uncultured bacterium. RNAcentral describes it as "partial 16S ribosomal RNA". It matches the Rfam family "Bacterial small subunit ribosomal RNA", at positions 568 to 796 of the family's 1533-position model. The record is from RNAcentral.
UGCGUAGGCGGAUUAAUAAGUCAGUGGUGAAAUCUUUCGGCUCAACCGAGAAACUGCCAUUGAUACUGUUAAUCUUGAGUUCGGUUGAGGUAGGCGGAAUGUGUAAUGUAGCGGUGAAAUGCUUAGAUAUUACACAGAACACCAAUUGCGUAGGCAGCUUACUAGACCGGCACUGACGCUGAGGCACGAAAGCGUGGGGAGCGAACAGGAUUAGAUACCCUGGUAGUCC